UUGAAAAGAACUUUGAAGAGAGAGUUCAAGAGUACGUGAAACCGUUCAGGGGUAAACCUGAGAAACCCAAAAGAUCGAACGGGGAGAUUCAGCGUCAAUGCGUUCUGGUAUCCGUGCGAGGUUACGAUGCGCUCUUGGGUUCGCUCGAGAGUCACGUCUUCGCUGCGCGAUAAUUAUCCAGACGCGCCGGCNUGCACUUCUCCCUUAGUAGAACGUCGCGACCCGUUGAGUGCUGGUCCAAGGCUGUGGAUGGUCGACUGACGUUGACGUCUUUACGGACGUUUGACAACGUCAGACCUCCGCGUAUGGUCUGACCAGCUGCUCGACGGUAGAUGACUCGAGUAUAUCAAUUGGUAUAGAGCCGCAGUAAGUGCGUUCAGGCACUUCGUCNAGCGAGUUCAAGGAAUCUCGGGAUACGGACUUCGUGCGCCGGAUCUUGGGCUUGGCUUGCUUUUUUGGAAC
This 462-nucleotide ribosomal RNA is filed under the name Anagrus sp. A19. Its description in RNAcentral is "LSU rRNA". The record is from RNAcentral. Lineage: Eukaryota; Metazoa; Arthropoda; Insecta; Hymenoptera; Mymaridae.